GACACAAUACUUGAAAAUCGACUCGUCAGUAUUAGGUAUCUCCAAGGUUUUUGGUCAGGCAACAAUGCUUCUAUGGGGCGUUAUAUAUAAUCGAUACCUGAAAUCUAUAUCACCUAGGAAACUGAUAUCAGCGAUUCAAGUAACAAUUGCAUUCUUAAUGAUUUCAGAUGUCUUAUUUGUGCGCGGUUUCUAUAGACAAAUGGGCGUGCCGGAUACACUCUAUGUUGUGAUUUUCUCAGGAUUCUUGGAGGUUCUAUUUUUCUUUAAGUUUCUUCCUUUCACUGUGUUAUUAGCACAGCUAUGUCCACAAGGUUGUGAAGGGUCAAUAAUGGCAUUUCUUAUGUCUGCUGUUGCAUUGGCAUUCAUUGUGAGUGGAUACCUUGGUGUUGCACUUGCAUCUUAUAUUAAGAUAACAGGAAGUGAUUUUUCAGGAUUAUCACUUGGACUUGUGAUACAAGCUUCAUGUACUUUGUUGCCAAUAUUUUGGUCAUCAUGCAUACCUGAAUAUGUAAAAACAAAAGACAAGCGUAAAGACUAAUUAAUGUAAUAGCUUUUAGAAAUGUGAUAAACAUAGUGAUUUAAGGUGUUGAGCAAAUUUUGUGUUCCAUUUUUCAGUAGCGUGGUUUAUGUUCGUGCAAGAUUUUAUCCGGUAGGAUUGUAAUUUUCCAAUUUCAUGUUCCGUAAAGGAAAAAAUGUUUAGUGAAUGUUUUACAGAAAAGCAAAGCCAAACAAGUGGUUGGAGAAGGCACACAUACCUUUUUUCCCAGUGGAAUUUCUGAAAUAUGUAAUGCUGCUUCAAGGCAGAAGGUAUGAAAUCAUAUUGAAAAAGUGAACAAUCUCACACAGUUAAAAAAUGAGCCAACUUUUAUAUACUACUAUUCUUUAUGGUCUCUGCCACGUUUUUCCUCAACUUUGUUGCAGUUCAAUUAUGAUAUUUCUAAAUAUCAUUUUAAGAAUGCUUAUGUAACUUAUAAUGUGAGGUUGAUUAUAAAGAUUUUCUACGUUGGAAAAUUGAUCUUAUACAAGUAAUUGUCUGAAAAUAAUAUCAAUUAUUGGAUCAUAAGAUGGUGGACAUAUAUCAAUUCUUUGAAAUACUAGAGACCACAAUACAAUUCGAUCAAUGAACAUUGCAAUUUGGAAGUAAAUAGUACUGAUAUGUUACUACAUGUGCAAAUGAGGUGUGAAAGUUGAGAGCUCUUAGUCCCACAUUGCUUGCAAAGAAACAAAACACAUGUGAAGUUGUUAUAUAUAAGAUGGCAAGUGUAUUACAAACAAUUGCAGUUUCAUAGAGGUGCCUAUUGGCUAUUGUGGUAACAUUGGCACGGAUCAGUGGUGUUGGUUUAAAAAGUAAAAAAUUUCUUUAAACCUUGAUCAUUUUCUUUUUGUUUUCAAAUUAGCUUGUUAGCACUCUCUCUCAAUAUAAUUAUUAUGUAAUAGAUUAUGUAUAAUAAUGUAAUAUAACUUGCCAAAAAAUCAAUUAUUCGUGUAGUCCAUCAUUACUACUUAUGUCUUCAUCUUGUUCUUGGUUGGUUAUUCUGGAUUCACCAGCUUCAUUAGAUUUUCUUCUUAGAGACGGAAUCUAUGAUCAAGACAUGGUUGGUGAUGCUUAUUCUUUUCAUGUCCGCAAACUAUUUACAACACAGUGUCUAUGAGAAAUAUCAAGUACCUAGUCUGUUUAUCUUUGGGGACUCUUUAUAUGAUAGUGAAAACAACAAUAACCUUCCUACCUUUGCUUAAUUUGAUUACAAACCUUAUGGAAUCGAUUCCUUCCUCGCUCGGCGCAACCAGAAGAUUUACCAACGGUCGAACUGCAAUUAACAUAAUAAGUAACGUUCUUUCGGUUUAUCUAUAUUAUUGUGAACUAUUGUUGUUAUCUCUUUGUGUUUCAACUCAAACUAAAGUCAUUUCUUUGACUAUAGCUUGCCUUCUUGGAUUUUAGAUAUUCAUUCCAUCAUUUGCAAACACUAAUGGUUUAGAUAUUCUCAAAGGUGUGAAUUAUGCAUAUGAGGGAGCAGGAAUUCGUAUCGAGACAAGCAUGACUAAAGUUUAAAUAAAUUGUAGUUUUUUAUGGUUGGUACUUAUCUUCAAUGGGUUUGUCAUAGUCACCAAACAUUAGUACACUAUCACAUCGACACUGAUAAUAAUUUGAAAAUUGACAUAAUUAAACCAAUGUAACCACACAAUUCUUAAAAUAAAAAAUGUAACCAUAGUGCCACACAAGUCACGGUCAUGUCUGUAUCAAAUACUAACACGUGUCGAAUACCAUACACAUGGAUCAUAAAUACCGGUGCUACAAAAUGUAUGUUACAUUGCUCAUACAUGUCACCAAAUUAGCAUAUGUCCAUACAAACUUGGUAUUACAGUUGACAAAUCACCGACUUAUAGUUUCUGAAAUUGCUACUAGACUUGGAAGUCUUGAAAAAACUCAGCAAUACCUUAACAAAUGUUUGUGUUAUGUAAUAGGAUGUAAUGUUACAUAAACAAUUAAUGAAAUAUUAUUCUGUUGGGAAUAUAUAUCCUCUAAUGUUAAAAACAGAAAUGUAUUCGUUAAAUGUGGAUAACUUUAUCUUUUUCUUUAUAUUAUAUUAUCAUUUAAUUUUACAAGGGCAUCCAUAAUGGUAACUGUUUCAUCUGAGUGCUGCUAUAUUGCAUGAGGGCCACAACAAAUCAAAUCGUACGACUUGUUAAACUAUGGGAAAAGAAACAACUUUCAGAACUAUUGGUCGCACUAAGAAAACAUAAAUUCGCUGGUCAAUCUCAUGGUUUGCAUUAUCUUAUGCUGUUAUUCCCUUACUUAACAGAACCAUGUUCUUUUACCAGACAUAAUACUUGAAAAUUGACUCCUCGGGUAUUAGGCAUCUCCAAGGUUUUUUGUCGGGCAACAAUGCUUCUAUGGGGUGUUAUAUUUAACUGAUGCUGAAAAUUUGUCUCACUGAGCAAACUGAUAUCAGCUACUCAAGCGUAAAGACUAAUCAAUGCCAAUAUUUUGGUCAUCAUGCAUACCUGAAUUUGUAAAAACAAAAGACAAGUGUAAAGACAAAUUAUUAAUGUAAUAGCUUUUAGAAAUGUGAUGGUGGUUUAAGGGGUUGAACAAAUUUUGUGUUCCAUACUUCCAUUUUUCAGUGGCAUGGUUUAUGUUGGUGCGAGAUUUUUCAUAUAUAGGAUUGUAAUUUUCUAAUGUCAUGUUUAGCCAAUGUUUUUGUGAAAAAAAGAUGUUUAGUGAAUGUUUUACAGAAAAUCAAAACUGCUUUUAUGAUCAAGUGGUUAGAGAAGGCACACAUACCUUAUUUUUCAGUAGAAUCUCUGAAAUAUGUAAUGCUGCUUGAAGGCAGAAGGUAUGAAAUCAUAUUGAAAAAGUAAACAAUCUCACACAGUUAAAAAUUGAGUCAACUUUUAUAUGGUACUAUUCUUUAUAUCUCCGCCACUUUUUUCCUCAACCUUGUUUCAGUUUAAUUAUGAGAUUUCUAAAUAUCAAUUUAAGAAUGCUUAUGUAACAUAUAAUGUGAGGUUGAUUAUAAAGAAUUUGCUAAGUUGAAAAAGUGAUCUUAUGCAAGUAGUUGUCUGAAAAUAAUCUCAAUUAUACGUCAAUUCUUUGAAAUACCAGAGGCUUAAGAACAUUGCAAUUUGGAAGUAAGUAGGACUGAUAUCUUACUAGAAGUGCCAAGUGAGGUGUGAAAGUAGAGAGUAUAAAUAUGGCUUUUAGUCCCAUAUUGCUUGCAAAGAAACAUAAUACGUGAAGUUUUUCUAUAUAAAGAUGACAAGUGAAUGACUAACAAAUGCAAUUUGGCUGAGAUGUCUAUUGGUUAUUCCUGUCCCAAUGACACUGUUCUAGUGCCACACCCCCGAAACUGCCAACUUUUCCAACUUGUCGUUUGAUCGGUAGUGUAGUUCUGGGGGUGCUAUCUGGAAUAGUAGCAUUGACAGGUUAAAAAGUUCAAUUUUUUUUUUAGAAAUCACAACUUUGAUCCCUUUUUUUCUCUUCAUUUUCUUCGUUGAUUCAGCUCAAACUAAUGUCGUUUCAUUGAGCUGCUACUCUACUUCUUGGAUUUGAGAAUUUAAUUUCAUCAUUUGCAAACCCUAAUGGUUUAGACAUACUUAAAGGUCCGAACUAUGCCAACUAUAAUCGUAGUUUUUGAUUGUUCAUCUUUAACUUCAAUUGGUUUUUGAUAGGUGUCUAGAGGAUUAUGUAGUACUCACGCAAUUAUCAAACACGACACUGACACGUCAACAGCAGUAAUAAUUUGAAGAAAAAAAAAACUUACAUUUAAAUGUAAUCACACGACUCUAUAUUGUGUCGGCAUCAAUAUUGACAUGUGUCAGAUACCUGAGACAUAGAUCUAAAGUGUCGAUGCUACAAAAUGUAUGCUACAUUGCUCAUACAUGUCACCAAAUUAACAUUAUUUAUGUCCAUACAUGAUUUUGUAUAGAAAGUUGAAUCGAAAGUUUUCGAUAAGUAAUCAGCUUCUUCGUGUGGUCACAAAUCAAGCUAAGUUCACCGUUUUUCUUCCAAAACUACUCACAGUUUCACCCUAUGUGACACAUCAUUGAGGUUUCUUGGAAACCUCCACCAUUCAACUACUAUAAAUGUUGAUGGUCUCAUGAAAGACACCAGAGAUUCUAUUUGUGGAUGAAUAACUAGAGAUCCUCGUGGUAGAUUCAUUCACGAUUUCUAAAAUAGACUCAAAACUUGAUCUGCUGUGUCGGCAGAACUCUGUGCUCUUCGCAUUGGAGUUGAUGAUAUAGCAAACCAGUUAAUUAUAUCAAUAAUGUCACAAUUGCAGCCACUAAAAGCAUGCAUGAAAUCAUAGACUAAUACAGUUAAUUGACAGCGGAAUCCACGGUGGUGGAAGUAGAAAAAAUAUCUCGGGUGGGCCAGCAAAAUAUACUCGGAUAUAUAAACAUAAAUUUGUCUGUUGUAAUAAACGCCAAACACAAAGUUUCAUCAAAAUAGUAAACUACAUACCUUAGAAAAUUAAAAUAAUUCGUUAUGCGAUCCAACUAACUUGAAAUCAUCAAUGACCAACUCAUAACUAAUACUUGCACUAAUUUCCCUUUCAAUAUAAACCGUCAUGCUAUCAUUUAGAAACCCACUUCCCAUUUUGUUUCUCAACCUAGUCUUGAUAAUCUUCAUUGCUGAAAAAGAUCUCUCAGUUGUGGCCGUAGAAGCUGGAAGAGUCAUGAUAAGGCGGAGUAUAAAUUAAAUAUGUGAUAUCUUACGAUUCAUUAUAAGAUUCGAUCCAUGAUUUGGAAAAUAGUUCUUCCGGUUCACGUUAUGAAUCUCGAAUCGAUAAGGAUGUUUAUUUCCCUUGUAGUGUAAUGCAAUAUGUCCUGAUACCAGGUUUCUGUGGGUGAGUAGUAGUAACACAUUACCCCUUUUUCCCUGCAUCAGUCCAAAGGCAGAACAGAAAAAAUGGGAUCUUAUGGAUUCUGGCCAGUAAUGUGAUCAAUCCAAAAGAAAGAAUAAACAAAAGAAAGAAAAACCGAAACCCUGAUUCAAAAGGAAACUUAGAUACUUGAAUAUGAAUAUAGUUAGGAACUAUUUAAAUGAAUGAAUGUCGUUGUUGCUUGAAUCUAAAAACAGAAUAAGUAUAUACUCGUUAGCUUCCUUAUGAAGGAAGUGUAAUAAAUCACAAUUAUUUCUAGGAACUGGAAAAUAGGUCAAUGGUUAUUGAAUUGGUUUCUUUUAUAUAUAAUAGAAGAAGGGAUAGAAAGAAUCAUCCUGAGGCAAACUGGUCAAUAAUGAAUACAAGAGACUAUUUAUACAUACAAGUUCAUAUGAAAACGAAGAAGAUAACAACGAUAACUAGCCUAAGUACAUUUCUCUAAUAAGAACAUUUUGAAUCAGCCAUUUCCCUCAAAGCAGUAGUUCUACUCAUGAAAAUGCAAAACUGAUUGCAACUUUUACUUGAGGCAAUGAUCAGAACCGUUUCUAAGAACACAAGCAAAUGCUACUUGAAAUUGAGAAAGUGCUGCAUUUUUUAGUUAUCUUCAUUUUGAAUUUUAUUUUCAGCAAUUGCUUAUCAGAUCAUCCCUGUCAGUUCGAUUCUGAUCCACCUUUAAUUUUCUGACAUACAAUGGUUAUUAAAACUGGAGACUUGGUUUUUACUUCAUUCAAUGCUAGACUAAAUCUGGAUAUGUUGUUGUGACUAUAUAACCUUAUGCCGCACUGCAAUCUUUACCCCUGCAUUGUUCAUUCCAUUUGGUAUAAAAGGUUGAUAUAAUUAAACCUUGUCAUGUAUUUAUUGGUCUAUGGGGUCAUAUUUUUCUUAGGUGUGAGUGUGACAUGGUGGAACUUCAUGUAAACUGUUUCUUCUGUUCUGUCCCCUUUGGGCUAUGAAUCCCAGUUUUCACUUAUUAGCAAGAAUACCUUAAAAAUUUAUCCUCAUCAAAAUGUUAGCUCGGAGGGAACUGGUUUGGUGACUGGUAAGGAUCGGUUACGUCUAGUAUAUGCAAAUUAUUAACCAGUUGCACGAUGCGUCAAAACAUGGCAUGAAUAAGUUCUCUCAGGCUGCAACUUUUCGUUUGACCUGAUUUUCUGGAGCCUCCCCCUCCUUUUUUUGGUAGAAAUAUUGUCCCUAGUUUCUUGGUUGCUAAAGUUGGAGUUGAUACUGAUGCCUUUUCAGUUAUGUUCUCGUCCAUAAGAGCAGCUUUGUUGGCAUUUUUCCAAUUUCAUGCAAGCUGCCUUAUUAAGGGAAAGUUAUCAAAUUUCGCCAAUGCUUUAAGGAUAAUCAUAUCUAUCAUGAACUUUAAAACUGUUCUAUUGUUUAUCAUUUUAUUGCAUGUCUAAUUUGUACUUCUAUUGUUUAUAACUAUAUUGCUAAAUAUUUCCUUAAAUUUGUUUAUGCAGCUUUCUUGCAGGCACUGUCAUGGCUAGCAAUAGCAAUCUCUCCGUCAAGCAUAUCUGUUUUCACUAUCUCUAUAUAUCUUCUUCUUAGUAUUCUAGGAGCUUCAAUAACUGAGGUAAAAAAUGAUGCCAUCGUUGCCGAGUUGGGUAAACAGCCUCCGUCUUCAACCAAGCACUCUCAACAACCAUCUUCCUCAGGCAAUCUUCAAUCCUUUGUUUGGAUAGCUUCCUCUGUAGGAGGAGUCGCCGGCAACCUUCUUGGUGGCAUUUUCAUCAGCCGCUUCUCUCCACAAUCCAUGUUUAUGUUUUUUGGCCUUCUUGUUGCUCUCCAAUUCUUCAUAACCGUUUCGGUUCACGAAAGCUCUCUCGGACUUUCAAAGAAUCCAUCAAUUGGGAUAAAGAAACAGCUUUCAGAACUAUCUGCCGCACUAAGAAAACCUGAAAUCACGUAUUCAAUCUCAUGGUUUGCAUUAUCUUAUGCAGUUGUUCCCUUACUUAACGGAACCAUGUUCAUUUACCAGACACAAUACUUGAAAAUCGACUCGUCAGUGUUAGGUAUCUCCAAGGUUUUUGGUCAGGAAACAAUGCUUCUAUGGGGUAUUAUAUAUAAUCGAUACCUGAAAUCUAUAUCACCUAGGAAACUGAUAUCAGCGAUUCAAGCAACAAUUGCAUUCUUAAUGAUUUCAGAUGUCUUAUUUGUGCGCGGUUUCUAUAGACAAAUGGGCGUGCUGGACACACUCUAUGUUGUGAUUUUCUCAGGAUUCUUGGAGGUUCUAUUUUUCUUUAAGUUUCUGCCAUUCACUGUGUUAUUAGCACAGCUAUGUCCACAAGGUUGCGAAGGGUCAAUAAUGGCAUUUCUUAUGUCUGCUGUUGCAUUGGCAUUCAUUGUGAGUGGAUACCUUGGUGUUGCACUUGCAUCUUAUAUUAAGAUAACAGGAAGUGAUUUUUCAGGAUUGUCACUUGGACUUGUGAUACAAGCUUCAUGUACUUUGUUGCCAAUAUUUUGGUCAUCAUGCAUAC
Molecule: long non-coding RNA, 7864 nt
Filed under: Medicago truncatula (barrel medic)
Lineage: Eukaryota; Viridiplantae; Streptophyta; Magnoliopsida; Fabales; Fabaceae
Description: long non-coding RNA (MTRU_LNC008198)
Source: RNAcentral